GGGGAUAUAGUUCAAUGGUAGAACAACUGGCGCCGACCCAGUAGUCGAAGGUUCGAUUCCUUCUAUCUCCA
Molecule: transfer RNA, 71 nt
Filed under: seawater metagenome
Description: tRNA-Arg
Rfam family: tRNA
About the family: Transfer RNA (tRNA) molecules are approximately 80 nucleotides in length.
Source: RNAcentral